GCAGAGACCACCUGCUUUGCCCCAUGGCCACAGACACUCCUGGGGAGGGGCAGCCCUGACCUGGGGUCCCACACCCCAUCCAAACCCUCUCUGCCCUCUUGUCUCACUUCUCCUGUAGUCCAUGCUUCCACAAUCUUACAGCCUGCCUGUUCAACAAACAGUUUUACUUUCCAUCUGCAACCACAUUUUAAUUUUAGCAGUGAAAUUAAUUUUAAUGAAUGGAAACCCCCGAACGCCUUGUUAUAUGCGCGCUCAUGUUCCCAGAUAAGUGUCAAGUAGGAAUGCUUAUGGUGGGUGAGUCAGUUAACAUUUCACAGUUAAUCCAGGAAGCCCAGAUUCUAAACCCCUGACUCCCCAGGGUGCUGAACACAUCCCUUUCUGUAAUUUAUCUAGAGGGAAGGGAAAACAAUUUCGACAUGUGUAUUUUAUUUUGCCACAUGAGGAGUACCUCCCCAGCCUGUAGAGUGGCCUCAACCAGCUGCAGCCCACUGGGGAGCCCCAGACCACCCGAGCAGAUGCCAUGAGCCCUGCCUUUGUGGUGAAUCUGGUGUGGAGACUAAUUGCGUUGCCUUGAAUGCAGAGCACAGAGAGUACCCAGUCGUUAGAAAAGGAAACUGAAGGCAUGCCAGCUGUUAGAAGAGCUUAAGCCAUCCAAGGCCCAAGUUCCAAAGAGCUCAGAUAUUUACCCAAUGAGAUUGACACCAAGAAGGAUCAUCUCCUUGUUGAGCUGGAAGGGCCCUGGAGAGCUGAUCCAAUCAGGUCUGUUUGCAGAUGUCUAAACCAGAUGGCCAAGCACAAGAUCUCACGAUGCCUACAGAUCCAAGGCAACUUGUGUGCUUAUUACUCCAGCGAGAAAGAAGAGGAAUGGAAACCGUGGUGACAGUCUGGAUGUUGGCACAGCUGCUUUUCUCAGCCUCCCGCCUUCCAUCUGCCUAUUCCCACGGAGAACCUAAACAAGGAUUCUACUGGUGGGGAUUAGGAGUAGAGGUCUGGAAGGCAUUGCCUGCCUUUAAUCUAGGCUCAAGUCUCCUCACUCAUAAAAAUGGAAAUAAUACUAGAAUCUACCACAUAGAGUUGAAGGUGAGGAUUUAAUUAGGUAAUGCAUGUGAAAUGUUUACUGUCAGACACCUCCCUUCUCAGAAGGUCCAUUGUUAGGAGCUGGACCAGCCAGGGGAAUGAGCCUGGGAACUCUUCUUUCUACAUUGGUUUCUAUCUUCGGUGGGUUGAUUACAGUCCACCCCUUCCAAAAGAUAUGUCUGUGUCUCAACCCUCAGGACCUGUGAACAUGACCUUAGUUGGAGAAAUAAUUAAGGAUCUUGAGACGAAAUCAUUAGGACUCAAGGUAGCAGGUGUCCUUAUAGGAAAAGAGAGAAGGAGGCUGGAGACAGAGCAGAGGGGAGAAGCCAUGUGAGGAUGGAGAGAUGCAGCCACAAGCCACAAAAUGCAUCCACAAAAGGAUGGAGCUGGAGGAGGCAUGGAAGGGAUUGUUUCCUAGAGUUCCUGGAAGGACCACAGCCCUGUUGACACUGGAUUUUGGAAUUCUUCCCUUAGAACUGUGAGAAUAAAUUCGUGUUGUUUUGAGCACCCAGUUUGAGGUACUUUGUUAUGCCAGCCACAGGACACUCACACAGAUGUCCUUUCUUCUUGGCUGGGAUGCCCUGGGUACUUCAUGUGAAGCCUCUCUGAAUACUCCUACUGUCUGGGAACAGUCUCUGCUUAUACCAAUUACAGGAAAGGAGGGAAUUUCUCUUUAGAGACCAGUAACAGCAGCCGACAUAGUUGUGGUUUGCGGUGUUCCCACCCUGUGCUCUGACCCG
Molecule: long non-coding RNA, 1817 nt
Organism: Canis lupus familiaris (dog)
Lineage: Eukaryota; Metazoa; Chordata; Mammalia; Carnivora; Canidae
Exons: 4
Source: RefSeq, a predicted model, not a curated record